Molecule: ribosomal RNA, 534 nt
Filed under: Triticum aestivum (bread wheat)
Lineage: Eukaryota; Viridiplantae; Streptophyta; Magnoliopsida; Poales; Poaceae
Description: partial small subunit ribosomal RNA
Source: RNAcentral
AUGUUGGACGCGACCACCUACUUAUUCCCGAGACUAAGUCUUUGGUGGCUUAAGCACAAUAUGCCCGGCAUAUGUUCUACAUCUACGGCAUGUAAUGAUCCUACUGGCAUUUCAAGAGGUCUUGUAAAUACAACACUCUUCCAAAGUAUUUCCAAGAUGCAUAAGGUUGGCAUGGGAGUAGGCCCGUACCAUGGGUUCGUGUGGCUGGAGGACCAUGGCCAGUGCUGCUAUUGCCUGAGAACCGGUUCAGAUAAAUGCGAACACUGGUUGGGGGUUCUAAGAAGGAUGACCCAAAAUGGGAGCAUGACAGACACCAUGGUCCAGGAAAUAAGGGGGAAUCCCGUGGUGUCUACUAUGCUUUCAGAAAUCCUAUGCAGUCAGGGAGAUUCCUUCAGAUUUUUGCAUGAUGAGCAGGUAGCUGUAAAGGGUCGUGGUGUCUACUAUGCUUUUCAGAAAGAGAAGGGCGGUUCCAAGGCAGAGAUAGUAAUGGUUUCAAAAAAAAGAGAUGUCUCGCUAUGGCAGGAAAACGAGUAG